RNAcentral lists this ribosomal RNA (586 nucleotides) under uncultured Alphaproteobacteria bacterium. Its description in RNAcentral is "bacterial SSU rRNA". It matches the Rfam family "Bacterial small subunit ribosomal RNA", at positions 38 to 669 of the family's 1533-position model. Lineage: Bacteria; Pseudomonadati; Pseudomonadota; Alphaproteobacteria. The record is from RNAcentral.
GGCGGCACGCCUAACACAUGCAAGUCGAACGAAGUAGCAAUACUUAGUGGCAGACGGGUGAGUAACAUGUGGGUAUCUACCCUUUGGCCUGGAAUAACACGAGGAAACUUGUGCUAAUACCGGAUAAGUCUUUACGGAGAAAGCUUUAUGCACCAUUGGAUGAGCCCGCACUUGAUUAGUUUGUUGGUAGGGUAAUGGCCUACCAAGACUAUGAUCAAUAGCUGAUUUGAGAGGAUGAUCAGCCACAUUGGGACUGAGACACGGCCCAAACUCCUACGGGAGGCAGCAGUGGGGAAUCUUGCACAAUGGAGGAAACUCUGAUGCAGCGAUGCCGCGUGAGUGAAGAAGGCCUUUGGGUUGUAAAGCUCUUUCGUCGGGGAAGAAAAUGACUGUACCCGAAUAAGAAGGUCCGGCUAACUUCGUGCCAGCAGCCGCGGUAAUACGAGGGGACCUAGCGUAGUUCGGAAUUACUGGGCUUAAAGAGUUCGUAGGUGGUUGAAAAAGUUGGUGGUGAAAUCCCAGAGCUUAACUCUGGAACUGCCAUCAAAACUUUUCAGCUAGAGUAUGAUAGAGGAAAGCAGAAUUU